RNA transcript from Arachis ipaensis, 1752 nucleotides. RefSeq lists it as uncharacterized. NCBI's taxonomy places the organism in Eukaryota, Viridiplantae, Streptophyta, Magnoliopsida, Fabales, Fabaceae. The record is from RefSeq and is a predicted model, not a curated record.
GGAACAAAAUUUUCCCCCAAUUUUUCUCACCAACCUUCAUUUUACCCCAAAUUCACCAACCCUCAUUCUCCGCUGCAGGCGUCACGGUUGCACCAUCGUCACUCCAUUUGCUCGCGCCACCGUCGUCGCGCUCCGUUGCUGCCAUGCCGCUGUCGCUCCCCACAUUUGCGCCAUUGUCGCUUCUUUCUUCUGUUGCCGCCGUCGCUCCUCCUACUUUGAUUUUUCUUCGCUCUCUCUCAAUCGAGCUCACAAGAACCAUUCAAGGCCUCGUCGAAUUGCUCUCUUUGUGGAGCCUUCUCCUUUUGCGAGUCCCCUACCUUUUUGCUGUUAUUGCUUCUUCAUUAUGUGGAUCGUUUGAAAUUGAAACCCUUUUUAGUUUGUUCUGUUCUAGAAUUACAAAACAUUGGGUUUUGGAUUAUUGCUAUAGCUAUUGAAAUUGCUGUGUCGAGUGUUGACUUUGUGAUUAUUGGAUGGCGUUUAUCAUUAGUCAAAAGUUAUAAGUAUAACAGUUAGUAAGCACAGGAUCUUUUUAAUAAUUAAUAUUAGUUUAUGGUUUUGUAAAGUAAGAGUAACCCUGGAAGAAACCUUUUUAAACUUUUUAAUAAAGGACUAUAUAGUUUAGAGUACUAUAUAAUCAAAAUUUCAGCUGCUGUACAAAUAUGCAUUUAUAUUUAGUUCACUCUUAUAUUAUAUUUAGUAAUAAUCAUAGGACAAAAGUAUUAAAACAGUUACUGAAGUAAAAAUACAAUAGAAAAAAUUGGAAGAUUGUAUGUGGGGCCUGUGAAAUAUAUCUAAUAUGAAAAUCAUGCUCUUCCCUCAAAUCCAAUGCUCUUCCAAGCAUUCAAGUCUCAAAUAUGAAAAUCAUCUUAAUAAUGAAGGGUCGGUUCCUUUUUCAUUUUUUGGUUUCAAAAUUGAUUUACUUAAAUUAUGAUCAAGUGUUUAAUUUUGAAGGGUUCACUUGAAUUAAACAAACCAUUUUUCUUAAUUUAUUUAUUUAUUUACUGCCCCUCUCAUUUUGUUGUGGUUUUUAAUUUUUAGAGGUAAAGGCUUAUCUAUAGUGAUAUUGGUUGAGAGAUAUAGCAAUGGUACUGCUAAGAGAUAUGUGUUAGGUGAUGAUUCACAGUUGCAAACUAUCCUUGUUGGGGAGGAUAGGUCUACAACAAACAGGUUCCAAGAUUUGCAUUCUUUUGAUGGAAGAAUAUCGUGGCUUCCACAGAUAAUCAAGGAUUUUGUUCUACCAGCUGGCUUUCCUGGAUCUGUUUCGGGUGAUUACUUGAACUACAUGUUGUUGCAGUUCCCUACCAAUGUGACUGGAUGGAUCUUGUAACUAUAUGCAAAUAAAUUGCGGCAAACAACGUUGAUGAGACAGAGAUUUAUGUCUUGGGAGGCAGAAGUGGUGAGAUAAGUGUUUUGUUUUCCAGAAACUUCGUAGAGGCACAUUCAAAUCUGCAGGGUUCAACAAGCAAAAACAUCACAAAUUUUAUUGUACAAGAACCAAUAACGGUAGCAGCAAUAACCCAUGUUACACCUGCCAAUAAUGUUUCAACCACUGAUCUUCCAGUUUCUAAAUGGCAAAGUUCGGCUGCUAUUGCAACAAUGGUUACUGGAGAGCAAUCUUUGGACGCUGCUAGCGCUCUGAGACUGGUACAUAUUAUGUAACCAUUAUUAUUUUAUAUUUAAUACCUUGCUUUUUUUCAUUUGGCAGAAAAAAAAUCCAACAUAUUUUGCUAUAUAUAAGCAUAAUUUCUAUUA